Molecule: small nuclear RNA, 107 nt
Organism: Physeter macrocephalus (sperm whale)
Lineage: Eukaryota; Metazoa; Chordata; Mammalia; Artiodactyla; Physeteridae
Source: Ensembl
GUGUUUGUUUCAGCAGCACGUAUACCAAAAUUGGAAUGAUACAGAGAAGACUAGCAUGGCCCCUGUGCAACGCUGACAUGCUAAUUUGUGAAGCUUUCCAUAUUUUU